CUUGGUAAAAAUAGCGUAGUGGUACCACCUGAUCCCAUUUCGAAUUCAGAAGUGAAACACUAUGGCGCCGAUGGUAGUGUGGGGUCUCCCCAUGUGAGAGUAGGAAUUUGCCAAGU
This is a ribosomal RNA of Candidatus Tachikawaea gelatinosa, 116 nucleotides long. The record is from Rfam. Lineage: Bacteria; Pseudomonadati; Pseudomonadota; Gammaproteobacteria; Enterobacterales; Enterobacteriaceae.